CUGCAAACCUGCACAGCAUGUGAUGUGGUGGAAUACUGAACUGAAUGCUGAAUACUGUAGGCAAUUGUAACAUAAUGUUUCCUUAGGCCCUGCCCUGGUGAAGAUGGCUGUUUGCUGGGUCACGCGAAGACAAAAGCCAGGACACAGGCCCCAGCCCUGCUAAACACUGCAGUGACUCUGCUCCAGGCUACCUCCUGUGGGAAUCUGCUUCACUUCACAGACGACCCCAGCAUCUUCAUUGAGGUCCAUGAAUGGACAUAGUUUCCAGGAUUUUUUGUGACCCAGGAAACCCGAACUCUCAUCAAAAAUGAAUAAGUAAAAGGAGGGAUGGGUAAGAAAAUUCUAAAAUCUUCUUUCUGAGUCAUUAACGUUCACUUGAAAUUUGUCGUCACUAUUUCCUACUUCCCUAGCAAAUUC
This 417-nucleotide long non-coding RNA is filed under the name Callithrix jacchus (white-tufted-ear marmoset). RNAcentral describes it as "lncRNA (ENSCJAG00000081728.1)". Lineage: Eukaryota; Metazoa; Chordata; Mammalia; Primates; Cebidae. The record is from RNAcentral.